CUCUCCGGUUGCACGGGCGGCUGGGCGCGAAGGCGCGCGGGUCGCGGCGGCGGGGCCGGGGCCGGGGCCGGGGCCGGGGAUGGCUUUCGAGGCGCUGGCGGAGGCGGCGGAGCGGUGGUGCGCCCGCACGCCCUUCCAGCUUAUCGCCGCCGAGGAGACCGAGCGCCGCAUGGACUUCUACGCCGAGCCCGGCGUCUCCUUCUACGUGCUUUGCCCGGAGGCCGCCUGCGGCGACAAUUUCCAUGUGUGGAGUGAAAGUGAGGACUGCUUACCUUUUCUGCAGCUCGCACAGGAUUACAUCUCUUCCUGCGGGAAGAAGACACUCCAUGAAAUAUUGGAAAAAGUCUUCAAAUCCUUCAGACCUUUACUUGGGCUUCCAGAUGUUGAUGAUGAUGCAUUUGAAGAGUAUAACGCAGAUGUGGAAGAAGAGGAACCAGAAGCCGAUCACCAACAGAUGGGUGUCAGUCAGCAGUGAUUUUCUGAGAAGCUAAAAAAAUGCGGAAGCCUUUGGUACCAGGUGGGGUCAGGUGGUCCCACAUUAGCGUGUUCGAAUUGGCACAUCACAUGGGGAUAUCUGGCUUCCAGGAUAAAGGUUUUACAAAAGGGUUUAAAAAAAUUUAAUAAUAAUAAUAAUCUGUGAUGAGCUUUGCUAAGAAGUGACCUGAAUUUUGCUCCUGCUUCAGUGGGUUUUCUAUGGAGUUGUCUUGGUAGCAUUCUGCCGUUAUCAGCCUAGAAGUAGUUUUGUCGCUGACUUAUCUCUUCGAUUUGUGUUCGAGAGUAGCAUUCACUGACAUGAAUGUAGAGUACCGAGGAUGCAGGAAGUGUGUGGUGAGAGGGCUGAGUCCUCACCAGUGACCUUUCUGAGGAACCAGCGCAGUGAGCAAACACCGCCUGCGCUUUUCUUUUUAGUUAAACAGGGUUUUUGACAAAGUACCAAAAUUGGAGAAAUUUCUCCUGAAAAAACACUAGUUUAAUAGUGGUUGGCACUGCAGAAGUGCACGUGAAGGCUUAACAAAAACAAUGGGAAGGAGGAAACCCAGGGGAGUACUGGUGUCAGACAUAUGGAUGUUGGUUUACUGACACCUGAGUUUGCAAGUGCUGAAUUACUAACUGGGAGUAAUAAGUAUCAGCAGUUGUAACCAACCCUGGUACUCCAACACCAUAUGAUCCAAAGCCAAAUGCUGCUUUCAUACAAAUCAGUUUAAAAAUAGCCAUCGCCUAUCCCACUUCUGCAUGACAACCAACUUCAAGCUUUGCGCUUUUUUAAUACACUGCUAAAUUAUAUCUCAAACCUCGUGGCAUCAUGAACUGAAGUGCAACUUAACUUUGAAGCCAUAAGGGUAUAAACCAGCACCUGGCUCUUGAAAUGCCGGACCUGUUCUUCUCCCUGGGCCUUUUUGCUGAUCCAAGCAUUUACAUCUUGUUGGAGAGGAGCUAAAAUACUACUACUACCUUGGCUGAUAUAAAAACUAAUGAGGUUUUAUUUAGCUGGGAACUUUUUCCCCAGAGGGGUUUGGUGGGGUCUUGGUAUACAGGAGAAGAAGACCCCUUGUAUUUUAUACCUAUUUUGCAUAGAUUUUAGUGACUUAGAGGAGUACCAGACUGUGAAGAUGCAGGGUCUCUUUAUUUACUUGUCUUUUGUACUGAAAAUAUAAGAAGCGAAGGAGAUUCUAUUGUAAUACAGAUGUUUUCCACAAUUGAGCAAAAUGUUUCUAAAUUUACUCCUUUUUCCAAUUUUUAAAAAAUAAUGAAAUGAAGGUCACAUGCUUCAAAAGCCCUUUUAUACAGUAUUAGCUUUAUAAAGCAAAAAGUGAGCGAAGAGAAAAUGCUUGGACAACUUCUAGAAACAACUUGGACCAUUCUGAAAACCCUAUUGUUAGCAAUGUCUCCUUUUCAGUAGAUUUGUUAAAGACUUUCUUUUUAAGGUUACUUAAGAGAGCAAGUUUUCUUGGUGGUUUACAUUUCUGAUGAUGGCUUGAGAGAUGCAUAGCACUUGAUUUUUUUAAUCUGGGGCAAAGACCUUCCAUAACCAGGAUGGUGUGUGAUACCUGAGUAUGCACAAAAGUGUCUGCAACACUGUAAAAGUCAGAGUUUAAGAAUGUCAAAAAAAAGUGGAAGAGAAACAGCUUAGUGCAACUUUGUACAUUCUUUUGGCAUGCAGGCAUAAACAUGGUAGUCACAGCACAUUUUGUAUGGACUAGUGACAUGAGAACUAUGGCGGUUCAUUGUAUAACAUUGUACAGCAGCAAUAGGCUUUUUGCUUACUAAAAUAAAGUGUAAGAAAGACCAGUGGUUUCCAUCCCUGCUUUAAGUCCCUAAGUUUUUCUUUCCUCCCCAGCUAAACCAGAUGCCACAACCUUAAAGAGAACCUUGCUUCGGGAGAACCUUUCUCUUCACAGCAUCCAAUCCUUUGGUUGUGGCUCAUUCAAGUAGAUCUUCUGAGGCUGACUUACCUCUGCUGUAAUGUAAUGCAAGAUAUAAUUUACAGUAGUGCAAGCUGGAGGCAAAGUCCUGCCAUUCACGUUUGCUAGCCACUUGCAACCAUUUUGCUUGGGUGCAGGUGGCUGGCACUGACAUGCAUGUGUAUGCACACACACCAGCACCAGCCCCGGGCAUGGUUGCAUCGUGAGCUGGGCUGUGGGGUUGGUCUGGUUGGGAGAUAACCCUCUGCAUUCUUAUGGACAGGCGGUUUUCCAGCUGGAUCAGUCCCACCACCUGGUUCAGCGAGUGGCUUCACAGAUGAGCACUGGCACAACAGAGGGGAGGCUGCAGGGGUGGACAUGAGUGAUAGCUGAGGGAGGACCUGCAGCUGAAGGUGCCUUGCACCCCUUGCAUGGUAUGAGGGGCCUAUGGCAGAGGUGCAGAUGCAAUCUGAACCAGCCUAAGUGCUGUGAGGAUUGACUUCAGAGGGCUCAGUGGGGAGAACUGGGCUCUGGGUGGCAGGAUAGGCAGGAAGUCCUGAAAUGAGGAAGGACUAAGAUCUAGUGCUUCUAAUUGCAUAAAGGAUGUUGAAAUAUUUACUGCACGCUGCUACCUUUCCAUGCAUAUCAGUUGGAUUGUUCGUGAGCAGUUGAAUGUUAAUAUGGUUGCAAAAACAUAACACUGUAAAUUAUGUAGAUAUAUUAUUUUCUGUAUUCACUAACUCACUUUUGUUUUUGGAAUGCCAUAUGUCAUUUGGGUGACUUCCACACCAGACUGCAAGUACUGGACAGCCGGGGGGCCCUUCUGCAGCACUCACCCCUGCAAAAUUCCCAUUGAAGCCAGCAAGAUUGUGUUCAAAUGGGACCUGCGGGAUCAGGUGCGCCAAGGAAUGCAUGAGGCUUGGUCCUGCAGAAAGCUGAGCCUUCUUGUCCCCUCUCAUUUUGCUGGGAACUGAAUGUAUUGAGCCCUGCUGCUGAACUGAUGCAUGACCAGGCAGCACUGAGAAUAAAGAAUUUUCUACAUAGAAAAUUGAAUUUACAUGUGUGUUAAAGGUGAAUGAGCAUUAAUAUAGAAUGUAUUUUAUCAAAAAAUAUGGAUUGCUUACUUUGACUAAAUACAUUUCUGCAUUGCCUGUUACUUGUUCCAAAGUAACUUACCAAACAAUGCAAGAGAUGCAGAACAGGUUUAGUUAUAUUACAAAGUAUUUUCAUUUGUAUUUUAUUUUUCCCUCACUCCCACCACGUAUUGAAGUUGGUAGCCAUUCAGUAGUUAAGGCAUAGCAUGACCCAGUGAUUAAGGCUGCCAGACUGAGACAGGAGGUUUGAGAACACUUGCACAAAUACUUGCAAGCUUGGGGGCUCGAUGAGAAGAUGGGGGUUCAGAGCUCUGCCAUUGACUUACCCUGAGCUUCAGGUGGAUCUUAGUGGCUGGGAAUUCAAGGCAGGCCUCCAGUUAUGCAUCCAGACCUUUAUGAAAUUCAGUGGGAGCAGGGUAACUCUUUUGGAAGUUCCACUUUAAGCCUUUUGUGAAAGGGGCCAUUAGCAUUAUUUGCCCACCAGUGAAUAAAAUACUUUUAGAUCUGUGGGUGAAAAGAGGUGUGCAUAAUCAUUGCGUAUCCUCAAAGCAAAACAUUAGUGAAAGGACACAGAAGAGUCUCCAUUUUCUCUCACUUUUCUCUCAGAGGCAUUUCCUGCUCUAGCUAAAUAUAAAUAUACCAGAGCAACUGGCAUUUCGGAAUAUGAGUUGCAUGAAUGCAGUGAGCAGAGUGCUGCUUGGGCGAUGAGAAAUACAAGGGAUGCCAGAGGAAAGAGCAGCUUUCAGAAAUGCAACAACUGGUUUGGGUAGCAGGGGCAAGAGUGAGGAAGGCCCUUUUCAGAGAUGUUGAGAUUUCUGAGACAGCCCAAACCAUCCUGCCAAGUAUCUGCUUAUUGAACUUCAGCAGUUUAUAAAAAAAACUCUGGACAUUACUGGGGCCUUGAGCUUGGUUGUGUUUUCCCUUUAGUGUCCUGCCUGAUGAAUGCAUUAUUGAGAUAGUUGAGAGGAAGGGAUGGAGAAAAGGCAAACUAAAAGGCCUUCUCUUCCUCUCUUCCCCAACAUUGUUAUUUAUGAUAUUGUGUGAGUAGGUAGGAGCAGCAGUCAGGGCGCAGGAAGCUGCUUUAUUAGGUGCACAGUAACAUCUUGUAAAGGACUUGCACACCCCUGAGCAUGGUGACCUGAACCCCUCUGGACUUCAGCUCCACCUCCUGCCCUGCUCUGGGCUGUUUUCCAGGCAGUUCCCAUAGUGCUGUGCUUUUGAAAGUCACAUGUUUGUAAGAAUGCCACUGUUGACAGGAAUAGCCAGAGUUAGUUUUCCUGCAUCAGUGACCUACACACUAGCUGCUGUGUCUCGGCACUGUGUCCCAUGUAAGGUGUGCUGUGUGACGUGUUGGCUGGGGACAGUGGGGAGGAGUUGCUGCUACAACAUUGCUUAGUAGGUAACUGCCCUUUCCCCCUCUGCAAGGUGGGACAUGAGACUGUGACAGUAAAAGUAGUGGCAGUAGCAUUACAGAUGUUGCUUUGGAAAGCUGCCAUAUAGAACAGAUUUCCAGCCUCUUCAAGCAUGUUUACUGAUCUUUCACCAGGACCAGGGCUGAAGUCCAUAGCUGUUUUGCUCACAGUCAGCUUUAGGUGUAGCAUUACUGCUUCAUCCUUGCGUCCAUCCUUGCCCUCUGUCCAUCCUUACCACUCUGUUCUUCUCAGAAAUUCCCAUUCCCAGAAGAGUCAAAGCAGAGAAACAGAAAGAGAACCCCCUCUUAUCUGGCAUAGCUUGAAGCCAGGUGCAUCGGUGAGAGCUUCAGGUUAGCACAGUGAGCCACACUGUCCUUUCUGCUCAGAGGUGUGAGGGGACAUGGGAAAUGUGCUAUCUUUUGAGGACCCGUGAGCUGUCCAUGCCAGACAGGGUUAUGCAGAAGAGAGCAGUCAUUUUAGGUGCCAAACCCAAGAUCUUUUCACAAGGAGUGAUGCCUAGCUAAAUAAUCCAGUUGCUGAAAAUCAUGACCCAUCGAGGCUUUCCAGGCUGGGCAUCCAGAAAACGAGACCUCUCUGGCUGCCAGUUGCUGGGGAGCCUGGCCCAGCCUGCAGGUCGCUUUCUCAGCACUGGCUGGUUUUGGUCUGGCCACAGGAUGUGGGGAACUGGGAAGGAUCCCUUCAGGGGCUCUAGCUGCAUGCCCCUUCCUGUAAAUGGCUGAGCAGUGGGAAAUGCCUUGUUUUACCUGUUUAAUUCUGGCAGGAGCUCCCCUCCUCCCUAGCAGCCUGUCUUAGAAGCCUUGGUGUGACAUCUAGGCAGGAGUGAUUCGGGGCAGGAGCUCUGGGACCCUGUAGCAGGCUGAGCUUGAGAUAGCCCUGCAGAGUCACCAUGGAGUUGAAGGCUCGGGGACAUCACUUCCAAGGCAGAUACUAGAAUUAUCUAUUCUAGCAGGCAGACCUUGUCACCUCUGAGACAUAACUUCAUCGCAGUUUUGGUGGUUUAUGUCUGUGGCAGGUGCAUGAAGGAAACAUCUUCACUUACCCACAAUCACCAUCCAGUGAGCCAACAUAUUAUUUAAGUACUCUAUGUCUGACUUUUUUCUAAUUGCUGAUUUUCUUUUAAAGACAGGCAACCUUUAGCAGCACAUCUGCAUUAUUGCAAACCCCAGUUUCUACAGAGCUACAUAGCACUGCUCAGUCACUAUGAACUUGGUCAUAAAUAUACAGACUAACAAAAAGGGUGUCCAUGUGUCUGAAGAAAAAAAGACUUCUUUGAACUAGUUACUGCUGACUACAGAAAAGCUCACUGGUUUAAUGUAAAAUACAUUGAAAUUCCCUUUCUGUACCAACAUGCUGUUGCUCAUGUAGGCAACACUGCAUGUAAAGGAUGUCUGCUUUCAUCUUUGGGGGUGGUGAUGGAAAUGUCAGCUCUGGUUUUCAGUCAAUGCAGAUUUUUUUUGUUGUCAAGUUUUCCUUUACUAGCGCAGGGACCAGUCAGACCUCAACAUGUUGAGCAGAAAUCAUGUUGUGCCACGCUGUGCAAAAGCUGGUUUUGGUGUGCAUCCACCAUUUUUCCUGGCUGGAAGAUCUCUCUGUCUUUGGGACUGCAAAGCUGUAAAACAGGUCACCAAAAGAUGUUGCCCUUUUGUUCAGUGCUUUAAAAGGUGUAAGCCUUCAGUGGAGCCCUACCUUUCCUCUGAUCCUCCUUCCUUUCCUACCACCGAGGCAUCAAAUCCAGCAGUGUUGUUACACCGUGAGCUUGCCAUUAAAGAGCUUACCAAACUCUGAUGACUGAUGGACUCUGUGAGCAAAAUCAACCAAACAGGGAUUAAAGAGUAGCUACAAUGCGUGUGGCAAAGGGAGUGGGAAGAUUGCAUUUCCUGGACACUGUUGGUGCAUAGUGUUUGUUUGCAAGUGCAAGGAGGAGAAAAUUAUUUCAUCUGAGCUUUUGGUAUUGCAGAGUAAACCCUUCUUUAUAGGACAGGACCCAGAAAUGCCACGUGGUCUGGUUUGGUGCAGUCUGAGGUGGUGGGUUUGCUGUCAGAAGAUGGGAACUGGUGGUAAUAUUUGUGGUGAGCUAGUAUUUCAGCCCUCCCAGAUCCUAAUCUGUUUUUGCACACAUUAGGGAGACAUCUCUUCUAAUUAAGAGGCAUGUAAUCAUGCUGAAAUGAAAAUUGGUGUUUCUGUUCAAUUCGUCUCUUUUCUUUAAACACUGCACUUUUAAUUGCUGCUUUGACAUGUUCUCACCCUGAUUUAGUUGAAGGAACACUGUCAGUCAUUACCUUUUGUCAUGAGCCUCUGUGGAUUGAAGAAUAUCUUCCAGCCCAUGGAAGAGCAAGUGCUUUAACUUACCACUGGCCUUGUAUUUUUGGCACUUCCCAUGGCAUGGGUGCUGAGUAGGAGCGUGCCAAUUACAUGCCUUGUGGUGUGUCCAAAACCCUCAGCAUUGUCUAUAAAGCUAUUCCUACAGCUGGUGGAAUGCCUGCCAAGACUGACUUCCUUGUGUUGGUGCACAUCCUGGCAACACAAGCCCCACAACCUCUUAAGGUUGUGGAGAUGAAUGGACUGAAUAGUCCAGCAGAGCUUUGCGUAUGGUGGAAGCCACUGUGACAAUUAGGCUCUGGUUACAGAUACAGCCACCCUUUGUGGAAAAGGUGAUGGUCCCAGCAUGUGUUUAGCUAUUUGGAGCCUGCUGGCCGCUCAGGUCUGCUGGAUGAACUUCUUCCUGCAUCAGAAGGUCAAGUGAAUUUAAGCAGUUUAGAAAGCAGCUCUCUGCUGUUCCAGACCUCAGCCCAGGGACAACAAGCUGCCCUGCUGUGGUGGUGAAUUCCUACACAAGGUGGUGGCUGCAGCUGGGAGCACUUUGCCUUGCACAUAGCUCUUGCCCCAGUCCAAGUCUGUCCACACUCCAGCUCCCAGGCUUAUGUCAUGCCUUCCCCAAGUGAAGAAAUUGGGAUAUUCCAGAGCUAUGAUAUGUCUUUAUAUCAAGGAGAACAGAUCCAUUAGAGGUGUGCAGUCUGUGUUACCUCUGUAGGCUCCUGCCUAAUGCUCUUCCAUCACAGCUGUCCUCGAGCAAAGUCAGCUGGGAAAUGCAGAGUUCACCCCCCUCAGCAGCUCCAUGUGCUGUUUUAAGGAGCACAUCAGAUUUAUGCUUUCUUUCUGCAAGACUUCAUGUUCCUUCUUCUCUGACAGGGUUCUUGCUUCUACCACUUGUUUAGUGAGUGCUGAAAUGCCAUAAAAAAAGCAUAUUUAACUUUAUUUCCAAUGCCUAGGUGUAUGCAUCCACUCUGUAGUUCUGACACCAAGGCAAGGGUUUUAUAUCUUUUAUUAGACAAACUGAUACAGAAGGGGGUGAAAGCUACAAGCUCUCAAGAUCCCAAGUGAUUCUCCACACUGAAAUAAAAGCAGCGAUUAUAUGAGGCAGUCUGAUAGCAUAUCGUAUCUCUCCACAACAACCUAAUCUUGAUUGUACACUUUUCUUAACGUAUUGCUGUUAUACCCACCACAGAGCUCCUUAAGAACUUGUGAAGCUCUUGCGUGCCAAGAGCUUUGAAGCCUUUAUGCUUUCGGGUUUGUAGCAGUCCCCUAGAGGUCAGCAGAGCCUAAAUUUUGAAGCAACUCUACAGGAUGAAAGCAAACGUGCAUUUUGAAAGCACCCAUUGCAAGGGUAGUAAAAGCAAGUUUGCUGUUGGCCUGCGAGACCCUGGUUUUGCUCUCUUGCAGCUUCAGCUGUUGCUGGAGAAGGGGUCAGGAUGUGAUAAAGGAAUCAGCGCAUGGGACAAAAAGUCCUGCUUUGGAGACGGAUGGGCUGAGAGCUUGCCGUGGAGAAAGACCAUAAGGAGGAGGCGGGAUAAACAGUCUGAAGAUGGGUGCUGGCCUUGUCAAAGCUGCAUAGGGCAGUGGGAGCUGGUGCCUACACCUUUUGGACCCAGUGGUACCCACCCCUCCUGGGGCCGUGGCUGGACUGCACUGCAUCAAGAGCAAUGUCUAGGACUGUGGCUGCCCUUUUCCCUAUUGUUUAGCUGGCCACCCUCCAAACACAGUUCUCCAUUUUCCUCUGCAUCCUUAAGGAUCGUACGCUCAGCUCCAUCAAAGGCAUUUGCUGAGAACUGAGACUUGCAGGCUUCAUUUAGAAGGGCAUAGUGUACUGGAAAUGCAGUGAUUCACACAGAAUGUCAGUGCCAGUUUUUAUCCCAUCACACUGUACCUUUUGGAUAAUAAAAACUAGGAAAUUUUCAUAUUGUUUUUUCUUGAAGAUGAUGAUGAUUAUUAUUAUUUUACUUCUUGUGUGCUGUAUUUCUUUGUGUUUCUGCAAAACUUUUGUCAGGGAAGGUUUUGAACUGCCUCUGAGUCACAUGGCAGCAAUGCGGAGUGGCAGUGCAGGGCUGUGGGAACUGAACAUGCGAGCUUGUGCGCUGCUUAUGUCUCAUGACGAAGGCCACUAAUAGAUCACCCAGCCCCCAGUGGGCUUCCUGGCUGUGGUGCUUAGGGUGGUCAAACAUAAUGUCAGUCUAUGAGAGACUGAUCUGAAAUCAGACUCCACUGUCCAUUGUCUCAAAGAUUGGUAUGAGAAGCUGAGAUUCCACGGUCCAUUGUCUGAGAGAUGGGUGUGAGGAGCUGAAAUGGGACUCCACCGACCAUUGCUGCAGACACUUGCAGUUGAAGAGCUGGCUGCAAGACGGGAGAAACUGGUCCCCCAGGAACGUGUAACGUGACAUGAAGAACAGAGGUGCUCCCCCAAACUCACUAUAAAAGGGGGAAAAGGUAAUCACGAAGGGGAGCCAUUGCCAUGAGGAUGAUUCCAGAAGGACAGCUCCGUGAGGAUACUCUCCACCGAUGACUACUAUGGACCCUGAGGGACGCCCUCCAUGAGACAUUGCCAUGAGGGCAACUCCAUCAGGACACCUCCAGGGGUACCUUCAAGGGGACGACUCCAGAAGAACACCUCCACGAGGACACCCACCUCCGACGACUACUACGGACUCUUGGGGGACACUCUGCUCUGAUACUGACUACGAACCCUGAAGACUCCCACCACCUCCAACAAUGAUGGAUCCCUGGGACACUGCUGGACCCAUGGUGGUGACACUCUCUCUCUCUCUCUCUCUGCACCCUGAAUCCUUGCUUCAUUUCUAUCCUUUUUCAAUCAUCUAUCCUAUUGCUAUCCCCUUUGUUACAAUAAUUUCUCUUUUUUAUAAUGAUUGCCUUUUUGUAAUAAACCAACUGAUCGAUUACG
This 10162-nucleotide long non-coding RNA is filed under the name Strigops habroptila (Kakapo). Its description in RNAcentral is "lncRNA (ENSSHBG00005000449.1)". Lineage: Eukaryota; Metazoa; Chordata; Aves; Psittaciformes; Psittacidae. The record is from RNAcentral.